AUGAAUAGUGCACAGCAAACGCAUCGAGCGAGGAAAAGAUUAGGAUUGGGGCCUCUCUCUCCCGUGAAAAUAUCUUCUCUCUCCCUCAUUUCGCUACUCUUUUCCGUGCCGCCGCCACCCCCCUCCCUCUCGGCCGCAGCCUCCUCUCCUCCGCCUCCACCACCUCCUCCUCCCCUGCCUCUCCUCCGCCCAUGUCUCUUCACCCCCUCCCUCUGCCUCCGUGCUCAAAAGGAGGAGCCGGGGUCGCUGCCGCUGCGCCUCUACAUCGUCCUCACACGCCGUCGUCCUUGCCAUUCUGCCGGUGGAGAGCUCCUCCAUGAUGGCAUCCACCGGAUCUUGCCGGCCCAGAUCCACACGCCUCCUCCUUCCUCGGCAGCUCGUGGAGCCCCAUGA
This 393-nucleotide ribosomal RNA is filed under the name Triticum aestivum (bread wheat). Its description in RNAcentral is "partial small subunit ribosomal RNA". The record is from RNAcentral. Lineage: Eukaryota; Viridiplantae; Streptophyta; Magnoliopsida; Poales; Poaceae.